RNAcentral lists this ribosomal RNA (263 nucleotides) under Prochlorococcus marinus subsp. marinus str. CCMP1375. RNAcentral's name for it is "partial 16S ribosomal RNA". It matches the Rfam family "Bacterial small subunit ribosomal RNA", at positions 1272 to 1533 of the family's 1533-position model. Lineage: Bacteria; Bacillati; Cyanobacteriota; Cyanophyceae; Synechococcales; Prochlorococcaceae. The record is from RNAcentral.
UCCCAUAAACCGUGGCUCAGUUCAGAUCGUAGGCUGCAACUCGCCUACGUGAAGCAGGAAUCGCUAGUAAUCGCAGGUCAGCAUACUGCGGUGAAUACGUUCCCGGGCCUUGUACACACCGCCCGUCACACCAUGGAAGUUGGCCACGCCCGAAGUCGUUACUCCAACCCUUGUGGAGGAGGACGCCGAAGGUGGGGCUGAUGACUGGGGUGAAGUCGUAACAAGGUAGCCGUACCGGAAGGUGCGGCUGGAUCACCUCCUAA